CUGAUAGCCCUGGCGAGCAACAUUUUCUAUUUAUCUGCACAACAGGUAUGGCAUGGGCAGCAGCAGUGUUGCCUCCUGCCCGCGGUUCCCAUCCAAGCCUCCUCAGUCCUGCGAGGGACCACCUAGAAGUGGUCAGGAGCUAUUUCCGUGUGGUUCGUCUGUGUCCACCCUGUUGUGCUACA
RNAcentral lists this small RNA (182 nucleotides) under Dromaius novaehollandiae (emu). RNAcentral's name for it is "TUC338 (ENSDNVG00000005400.1)". Lineage: Eukaryota; Metazoa; Chordata; Aves; Casuariiformes; Dromaiidae. The record is from RNAcentral.